UGGGUGGUAUUUUGGGGGUGUGACAAAUAUCAUGACUUCCGUUGAUACUAGGGUCAGGUAUGAAGUGAUGGGUAUGUUUACAGUGUAUAGUAUGAUUUUCGUUUAUAGGGACAUAAAUUUUAAUGGCUUCAAUGAUCGAAGGUUAUUGCUUCAUUUGAUGGGUGAAUAGCUGAAGCAUGAUUGAGAAAACAGUUUAAUGUAGAAUGUUGUAUGUUGUAUUUGGUUUACACAUCAGGUAUUAUGCUUCUUGUAUGUUGUUAAUUUAAACAUGUAAUGUGCUAAUGUGUUUUUACAGGAAUGAUCCUGUGGAUGAGGAUGCAGCCAGCGCAGCCGCAACAACUUUAUAUGCCAUACCAACUGUUAUAAUCUCCGAGAUUCUGAAGGAGAUGGACUGGUAACUCAAAAAUGUUGAUGGUAUGGAUGCUUUUGCUGUCAAACAAGCUUGCAAAACAGCAAAGGGACAUGCCUUGAAGAACAGAUCCAUUGUCACUAUGGUCCAGCAUGUAUUGGAUUACUAGAGCUUAUGUGUUACUGGAGAAAUUUGAUUACAUCAAAUUUUCACUAUGAAAAUGGUUAAUAAGUAGCCAAAAGAUAGGCUGUGCAAUCUUGUGCAUGAAGUGCUUUGAUGAUUCUCAUCAUCAUCAUUAUUUAAGAUAAUCAAAAGAAAUAGAGUGUCAAUGAAAUGAAACAUGCUUUUAUGCACUUGGAUGAAAAUGAAAGUAUGAAAAGAUUCAUGCAUGAUAUUCUUACUUUUGCUACUGAAGUCACUUUUUCUUUACCUAUUUUGCAUAUAUUCGAGU
This 800-nucleotide long non-coding RNA is filed under the name Helianthus annuus (common sunflower). The record is from RNAcentral. Lineage: Eukaryota; Viridiplantae; Streptophyta; Magnoliopsida; Asterales; Asteraceae.